GUGGCGUGGGCAUAGAAGGAAGGCCAGUGGCCACGAGGGACAAUCUUGGUCUUGGGAGAUCCUGGAAAUGAUAGGGAGUCCCUUGAUAUGUGUGGCAUGGGCUCCUUCAGGUGCUAGUGGAUUCCUUAGGAUGGUGGUGUUGGCAUGAAAGGCAGGCUUGUAUCAUGAGGAAUGAUUGUCAUCUUGUCUGAUUCUUGGAGAUGGCAGGAAGCCCCUGGAAACACAUGGUGUGGACUCUUUCACAGGCUGUUGAAACCCUCCUGAAUGUGAGGCCAGAGACAGGCAGACAGCAGAUGUAUUGCAGGGAGCUGGAUGACAUGGCCCUUGGAACCUGUGCACAUGCCUGCCUUUCUGAUGCACGUCCAUGUUUUCUCUGCACCUCCCCGGUGGUGUUGGUAUAAAAAGCAGGCUUACAUCAGCAAGGGAUGAUUGUCGUCUCAUGCGAUCCUGGGAGAUGGCAGAAGUCCCGGGACACAUGGAGUGUGGGCUCUUUCGGAGGCUGUUGGAUCCCUCCUGAAUGUGUUGUGGCCAUGGAAGUAAGGCCAGUGGCUACGAGGGACAGUCUUCAUCUUGGGAGAUCCCUAGAGAGGGCAGGGAGCCCCUUGACAUGUGGAAUGUGAUCUCUGUUGGGUGCUGGUGGAUCCCACAGGUGGUCUGGCAUGGAAGAAGGCCAGAGGCUGCGAUGGAUCAUCUUUGUCUUGGGAGAUUCCUGGAGAUGGUGGGGAGCCCCUGGGCACGUGCAGCAUAUGUGGCGUGGGCUUCUUCAGGUGCUGGUGGAUCCCUCAGGAUGCUUUUCAAGGUUUUUCUAUGAGUUCUGUUAAAGAGUCUGAAAAUGGAGCGUAGAAGACAUGCUUCGAUUUCCAGGAUGGUUGUGUUUUCCAGAGAGGCGGAGUUCAUUGUGGAACCAGCACAGAUUUUCAUACGAAAGUUAUUUCUUUUUAACCUCAAAAAGUGACAGAAUGGAGUGUAUCAUGAAAAAGUCUGACAUCAAAACCUCAAAAUGUGAUAUUGAUUGGGUGAGAUAGAAUUCCAUGGAAUUUCAUUGCCAAACCAGUGAAGUGCUAAUUUUGACAUUUGUACCAGCUAACGUAGCUGUGAAGAAACACACCAAUACACUUCUAAGGACAGCAUAGACCAAGAUCUAGGUUUCAUAUGGAUGAAUUUAUUCUUCCCUUUGAGGCAAGACAAGAAGGAAAGAAAGUAUUGGGAAUAAUGCUGCCCUCCCAUCCUCAAGGGCCAGUGGGAACUCUAAUAUUGAUUGGUUUUCACAGAAUUCCAUGGACUUUAACUGCUGAACCAAUGAUGCACUGAUUUUGUCACUUGUACCAGCUAACGCAUCUGGGAGGCAACAAAACAAUACUCUCCUGAGGUUAAUGUGGACCAAAAACUAGAUUUCAUAUAAAAGAGUUUAUUCCUUCUACUUGAGGUGUGACAUGAAGGAAAGUAAUGGAAAUAAUUCUGCCCUCCCAUUCUCAAGGGCCAGGGGGAAUUCAAAUAUUGAACGGAAGUGAUUUUGGAAUUGCAUGGAAUUCUCACUGCCAUCCCAAAGAAAUGCUGAUCUUGUCACUCUUACCUGUUUCAUUCCCUGGGGGCAGAACAAAAGGACGCACUCCAAAGAUCGGCAUGAACCAAGAACUGGGUUUCAUAUAAAAUAUUUUAUUCUGUCCUCUUGAGAUGUGACAUGAGAAAAGUAUUGAGAAUACUUCUAUCACCUCAUCUUCAAGAAUCCGUAGGAAUUCUCCCAUGGUGGACUUUACGGUUAACCUGAACAGGUCUUGGAAAAAGGACUUUAAACAUUCUCCUGUUCUGUGGAAUAAGUAUACUUUUUUCUGGACAUACACCUUGUCAGUGAGUUCCAUGUGAUACUAGAGUUGCAUAGAUUUUUAACCUUUACGCCAAUGAAGAUCUGAGGCAAACAUUGCCCCUUUUUUAGAAGUUUGCAUUUGUCACUGAUAACUGUAAUAAUUGAUCUUGUUGAAAAGCCUGGGAAAUGAAGAUCUGAUAUGUCACUUUUACCGGCUUCCUCAACUGAAAAAGAAUACAAUGAAACACGCUGAGAAUUUUUGUGCUUUCUCAGUCUUGCUGAUGAUCUUUCUAUGGGCCUGAAGCGUGGAGAGUGCCAGAGAGGCUGAUCCUCAGCAGUGUGGCAGAGGAAAGUUGGGUGCGACUAAGGGGUAUGCGGUGCCCACAUGCCACUGGGUCCUCAGCAGUACCACCUGGUCAACAAAGACAAGGCACCUAGCCCCACAUGAAACUUUAUUCCUUUCCCUUUUGAGAUGUGACAUG
RNAcentral lists this long non-coding RNA (2286 nucleotides) under Homo sapiens (human). Its description in RNAcentral is "non-protein coding lnc-SNRPN-8:127". Lineage: Eukaryota; Metazoa; Chordata; Mammalia; Primates; Hominidae. The record is from RNAcentral.